This 2585-nucleotide long non-coding RNA is filed under the name Homo sapiens (human). RNAcentral describes it as "non-protein coding lnc-FBXL3-1:7". The record is from RNAcentral. Lineage: Eukaryota; Metazoa; Chordata; Mammalia; Primates; Hominidae.
CUUUUGAGGGCAAAACUGGGAAGUCCCAAUAAGGACUUCGGAUCAGGACUGUCCUGAGUCUGCCGCAAGUGACCAGAGGGGACGAAAGGUCCCAGGGCUGCACGUAACGAGCGGCUGCGACUCCCCAGUCCUCAACUUUGCUCUCAAGUGCGCUCCGAGCGUCACCCGGCGCUGUCCCCGCACCAUCUCGUGACCCGACACAAACCACGGUGAGCAGGGGUCCCCGCCCCAGCACCCCAUCCCCCAUCGUCAACGCCGACCCCAACCCCGACAGUGCGCGCGCCGCCGCACUCACUUGUAGGGCACCGGCCAGUGGCGCCGGGAGGGGAUGCCCGAGACCCGGGACCAGCCCGGAACCACCGCGAGCCAAAGCAGCGCCAGGGCCCAGCACCAGGAAGCGCGUCCCCGAGCCGCGCCCGCGCCCCGCCGCAUCUCGGCGCCCUGUGCCGUGUCUACCUCCUGCGCCAUCAGGCUGCACCCAGUACUUCCGGAGCCUCUCGAGGCCUGCGACGCCGGUGGGAGGAGCAUGCGCGGAGCCGCCAGUCCGGGACGCGGGGCGCCUUGCCCCUGCGCGUCAGCUCCAGAGCUUGGCCCCAAGCGCAGGUUCCGGCGCAUGACACCUCCCCGCGCCCGGCCCGCGGCGGCUUCCACACUUUGCAGUCCAGGAAGGUGCUUUGGUCUGGCUCCCAGGAGAAUUCGAUCCAGACCUGGGGCGUCAUCUUUUAUGAAUUGACCUGUCCUUGCCCAAAAGCCACCACCAAAACCAAAAAUCUGUCACCGGGGCUCCUCCCAACACCGAACUUUUACCCCAUCCCACAGGGCCCACGCUAGGUGUCAACAAACGUUGAGUGAACGAGAAUGUGUAUUUGGAGCUGAGGGUGCAGGGCUGGGGGUGCAGUGAGGAAGAAGGGACAAUAGUGCGGAAAUGGCUCGUCGUCACCCGACCUGGGCCAGUCAUAACAGUGGUUAACACUGACAAUAUGUGGUCCCUGCCACUCCCCAAGUGCUUAGUGGGGAAAUGACUCGUCCUCACUCGACCUGGGCCAGUGAUAACAGUGGUUAACACCGACAAUAUGUGGUCCCUGCCACUACCCGAGUGCUGCCGAAUCUACCCCCUCCCCUACCGCUCCCCUCACAGGCAGGUGUUCCUUGCUUGGAUCUGUCACUUCACUGGAAAGAAGUUUCUGCAUCACCUUCUCUUCUUUGACUCUUCAACUAGGUCAAGAAAACAAUGGCAUCAAUUACCCGGCUUUUGAGGAGCCUCUUGUGGCAUGCUUUGCUGUUAGGCACAAAUACUGACUUAAGUCUAUACGUAGUACAUUCAGGGCCUUGCCAUAGUCACUUGUUUUUACCAGACAGCAGUUUUGCAGGGCCUUAGACCGGGACUUUCCAAUUCCUUCACUUCACCCACAACUCGUGUGAAGCAUCAUAAUGUUUGUAAGCCUAUGGGAAUAAGCAAGGUGGCUUCGGUAGCCGGAGAUGACCACCACAAUCCAUUGGAGGAUAUGUAGCUUGUGGGGGUGUCACUGACUUCCUUGGGCCCUCCAGGUCUCUUGAUUACAUAUGGGACUCAGUACCCUGCCCCAAACACACACUCCUUUGCCCACUUGCUGCUCCAGGUUUGGGGGUUUUGCGGAGGUUCAGGCUGGGCUGCAUUUUACCAUACGUUUGUCUAAGCGUUUUGAUAGCUACCUAGCUCUCCUCCGUAUACUAUGGCCAAAUUCAAAAUUACCAAGGCUAAACUGGCUUCUUCAAAGACCUGCCCAAGAUAAGAGGGGGAAGCAUUCUAGCCCUGAGAGCUGAAAUGUAAUGUCUGAUUUGAAGGGCACCUGAAGGAUUCCGUGGCCCCACACUUGAGCCUAGCUUAAAAAGCAAUCAGCAGGAACAGCUUUAAAAAAAAAAAAAAACAUUGAUUAGAGCAUUUACAAAUCCUGGAACCAUACACAGUAUGAUGUAUGAGGGCCACAGUAGAUGGCCUCAACAACCAGAGCCUCCGUGGCUGCCUGGAGAGCGGUGAUGCAGGCAGCAGCUUCAUGAGAUAUUUGCAGUUUAAUCCAGUCAUCUGCAAGCACAAUCUGCCCAUCAGAUUGGACUUUCUUGGAGGCAAAGAGAAGCAACUGCAGUGGGGUGACUAAAGUCAUGCCUUUAGCAGAGAUGGCUCGAGUUCAAAUCUUUUCACCAAAUACAAAGAAGGGAGAUAGGUACUUCAUGUCUUGGCUACUAAAAGGACAAUUAACAGUAGAUGGUUCCAGGUUCCAUCUACUGUUAGUAGAGGGCCACAGUAGAACCUCCCAUUCAGUUCAGGACUUCCCAGAGCUACAAAAACAAAUUCAGGUUGACCUUGUUCAGUGGUGGAGGCCUCUGGUCUUGCUUCUGCCAUCUGUCUCUUCAUUCUGUGUGCAGGGAGCUUUCAUGGUAAGAAAGCACUUCCUAGUAUUGGUUUUUAUUUUUUAUUUUUUUGGAGACGGAGUCUCCUUCUGUCACCCAGCCUGGAGUGCAGUGAUGUGAUUUCGGCUCACUGCAACCUCCGCCUCCCGGGUUCAAGCAAUUCUCCUGCCUCAGCCUCCCUAGUGGCUGGGUACAAG